This 253-nucleotide ribosomal RNA is filed under the name uncultured bacterium. Its description in RNAcentral is "partial 16S ribosomal RNA". It matches the Rfam family "Bacterial small subunit ribosomal RNA", at positions 524 to 776 of the family's 1533-position model. The record is from RNAcentral.
UACAGAGGUGGCAAGCGUUGUUCGGAAUUACUGGGCGUAAAGGGUGCGUAGGUGGUGCUGUAAGUCAGGUGUGAAAUCUCGGGGCUCAACCCCGAAACUGCACUUGAUACUGCAGUGCUCGAGGACUGGAGAGGAGAUUGGAAUUCAUGGUGUAGCAGUGAAAUGCGUAGAUAUCAUGAGGAAGACCAGUGGCGAAGGCGGAUCUCUGGACAGUUCCUGACACUGAGGCACGAAGGCCAGGGGAGCAAACAGG